UAGUGGGAAGGGCCCUGCUUUCGGCAAGAUGCAAAUGGUGGUGGGGAGGGGGAAACCCAGAGAGAGAGAGAGAAAGCAGUCGCGGGGAGCGAGAGACCCGGGCCGGGAGCUGAGCUUGCCGGGGCCCAUUGUACUCACGCUGGGGGGCUGAAGACCUUCUUUUGUGGGUUCUGCUUAUCAGCUAAACUUUAGCUGACCUUUGGACUUGUUAAAGCAAGUGGCUUGCAGCCUAGGUGCGGGGACUUUUCCACUGGCCACACAGACGAAACUGCGCUUCUGGGGUUCAGUUUCAGGACACCCGCGGCGCAUUCUGCAAAGGCAAGGUCACUGCUGCAGUGUUGGGGAGUCUCACUCGCCAAGUGGAGAAGGCACUGAGAAAGCCACUGAAGGAACGAAGUUUUCCCCAGCCAGACCUGGCUGGGAAGGAAGCCCUGGGCGCUUCAACACUGCAGGAGUUUCUGCCACAACUCCUCUGGGACGGCGGCAAAGGGGAGGAAGGAGGCACCCAACUCACCCAAGCCUAUAGGCUGAGAUCUGACUUGCAGAACAGGGGAAGGGGCUCCUUAGGGUGUACCACUCAGACUCCUGGGGCAGAAGACACUCUUGUCUUUGAGCCCCAGUUUCCUCAUCUGUGGAAAAGGCUGAGAGGGUAGGUGCAGUGCAGCAGAGUUGUACACGCUGAAUAAGACCACCUGUGCAAACCCUCGUUCUGAAAAUAGUGUGCACACUUUCCAGUCUGGGAAGGCAGGAGGCCCCCUUGUAAAAGCCAAGAGGCCAGUGAAACCUAGCACUUCUGGAAGCUUGGAGUUCUCAGAAUCAGAGAGAACGAAUUCGGGAAUAGGAAGGACUCGGCCGUUAGGGACAAAAAAUGAGAAUCAGCAGGAAAAUUGCAAAGGAGCUUCUGAAUAUGUCCUCCUUUCUCUCCCACCUUCAGAGAUAAUUAGGAGAAAGCUGAGUUUAAACUAGGGAUAGAGAGAGAGCUUAGCGUGGUGGACAACAGGUGUCUGGGUCACCUGUCCUGGGAGCCAGAAAGAAAGGAGGUAGUUGUGUGUAUAGAUUCCUGGGAAGGUUUACACUUAUCUCAGUCCCUCUUCCCUGAAAAAGGGGUAAUAAAUCCAUAGAAGUGAGGGCCCUUCAUCCCGCCUUCUUGUUUUCUAGUUUGUUGUGACAUAUGGCAGAUGUUUGCCCACUGUAAUUCCACUCAGUGGAGAAUUUUCUGUCUCCUCAGCUCCUCUCAAGCAGGAUAAUGAAGUGUUCAGAGUAAAUGCCCCUGGAGAACAGCCUCCUCCCUCCUCUCUGUCUCUUUCUCUCUGUUAUAGUUAUAGAAGCACCAAGUACAAUGUAGAUCAGAUUCUAUGUUAAACUGGGAAGGCCCAUUAAAAAGCCAAACAUUACUUCUCUUUGUAACAAGAUAAUAGUUAAAAAGCAGUUGUAGUUCUAACUGCUGUUCACCUCCUUGAACUUCCAAGCCUCUUUCGCCCUCAACAUUCAGGUAUCAGCAAACCCAUUCUUCCCCACACCUCAGCCACCCAAAUAAAAAUACAGAAAUUGCACACAGGGGAAAAUUCCUAUGAGUGCCCAGUUAUAUCUUCCAUGUAAUCUUGCUAUUCAUAGCCAGAAAUUCCUGUAAGCCUCUUCCCCAGACCUGCCUUGUAUUUCUCACUUGCUGCUAUUGUAGGUACUUAUGACGUGGUUGCAAGUACUGUGAAUAGAUUCAGCACCUACCCUAAAAAAUUUAACAAAGAAUAAGGAGACCAACAGCAUAUCCUUUACAGUAUAGGUCUUAGAUUUAGCAUCUAAAUGAGUUCUGUCUUGAAACUCUUCAGAGAAACUUCUCUCCCCCAAUAGAAGAAGACUCAGCAUGUCUGCAAUAAUCUCUGCCUAUGCUUCACAUGGGAUAAAGUUGGGACAGACUGAGGCAGUAACCUCAUGUUAAAGAUGGGAAAAUAAGCUGGACAUUGUAGCCACUCAAGGAGGCUGAGGUAGGAAAAUCAGCAUGGACGACUUAAGAACUCUGUCUCAAAAUAAAAUAAAAGCUGCUACAAAUGUAGUUCAGUGUUAAAAUAUUUGCCUACCAUGCACAUGAGGCCCCAGAUUUGAUAGCAAUACUGAAAAAAAAAAAAAAGAAAAGAAAAGACAAGACACUGGAAAGUCUACAGAGAUGUUGCUUGUAACCACUGGAGGAAGUUAAUUUGAGUGCUGUUUGGAGCAAGGCUUUAGGAUGAAAGAAGAGGGUCCCUAGCUUUCAUUGUUUUGGGAGAUGAGAGUUGAAAGGGAGAUUCUUUGGGGCAGGGGGAGAAUACACAGCUGAGAAGGGGGGCAGGCUCUGUAGUCAAACAGACCUAAACGUGCAAAAGAAUAAUGACGUUAUACUGUGUUUUCGUGAAAAUGAAAUGCAUUAACAAUCACAGGUCCCAGGAGUAUGGCAGGCUCUCAUAUAUUUAGAAAAAUAGAGACACACCAUGAAGUCAUGCUGAGAAGCGAGGCAACUGAUCUCUUUGGGCUUUUAUAUUCCCAGAUUGUUUUUAAGAGUUACUGAAUUCGAAGAGACACUAUUAGGCUCUUCUUCCAACAAAUUUGCAGUUAGAUUCCAAGAUUUUCUAAGGGAGAUGCCGUCCCUGGUAUGAAAUAAUUUGAAAUCUACUUGGCAUAUCAUUUAUGAAGGUUUUCUGAGCAUCGUGUUGGUAAUUUUACCAAAUGGUGGAUGCAGCUCCUGUGAACUCACUUCGCCUGUAAUUUUCUUCAGUUUGUGAUAGUUUCCCUUCCUACUACCACCACUUUCCACGUUUACCUUUCUUUGUUUACAGGAGACCCUGGUCUUUCUGAUCUCUGCUCUUCUGCUCUCGAAGGCUUCCCACUGAGUUGGCGGUGACUAGUAGGGCUCCAAGUGCAAUCGUCCCUGGAAUAAAACAUAAAUACCAUUCUAUCCUGUUCUGAGCUGUUGAAACCCACAAAACAUUCUAGACUCCAGGGUCAGAAGCUUGAGGUUCUAAUUCUGGCUAUAACACUCCUUUCUGGGUGAUUCUUCACCCCCAAAGGCUUUAGUGAGUACCUCCUCUGGGCCUCUGAUUCUGCUUUUGAAAAAUGACCAGUUGGUUUGGAUAACUAUGUAAGAACUCCAAUUUUCCUGAUCUGAAAUUACUAAAAGGUCUUAAAUUACUGGAGUCUCCACUUCAAGCUUUUUGGCCAGAUAUAGUGUAAGAGCUCAGGCCAGAUCUCUGAAUAGUAGUGUACAUGAGAUGUUUGACUAGCCCAUGAAAAAUACACACCUCAGGCUGUAAAGGUCCACAAGGGUUAAGGACUUUCUCAUGUCUCGCUCUUCAAUGCCUGGAGAGGUGCUGAUAUAAAGUAGAUGCUUAACAAAAUACCGAAGAAGAGAAUAUAUCUCUGGAUUAUACUGUUAGAGAUGAUUUUUCUGUUUGCUUAUUUAUACUUGUCAGAUUUUCUCAAUUAUCAGCAGUAAAAUUCUAAUACAAAAAUAAUUUUUUUCCAGAUACGAAAGGAUAUAUACUGUGUGAUUACAUGUAUAGGCACUUAAAAAGUAGAAAGAGAAAUCUACAGUGGUAGCAGUUUCUGGAAUGGUAGAAAGGUUUCAUGCUUUAAUCAGGGUGGAAGAUACAUCAAGUGUCUUUACAUGUAGAAUGUGUGCAUAUUGUUAUAUAUAAGGUAUAACUUAGUAAAAAAAUUUUUAAAAAUAUUUCUAAAGUAUAAAAUGUAAACAGCAGAAGUCACCGUCUUACCCCUUCCACUGUUUACACUUGAUAUGUGGCCCUCCAGAAUCUUUUCUAUUCACCACGUGUAGUUAAUUGCCAUUGAAACCUCUAGACUCCUAGUAUAUCCCAGGAGCCAGCAAACUUUUUCUGUGAAAGAGCUAGAUAGUAAAUAUUUUAGGCUUUGUAGUCCAGAAAGUCUCUGUUGCAACUAUUCACUUUGCUAUUAUGGACAAUACCUAAAUAUGUGUGGCUGUGUUCCAAUAAAACUUUACUGAUAAAAACGUU
Molecule: long non-coding RNA, 3998 nt
Organism: Chinchilla lanigera (long-tailed chinchilla)
Lineage: Eukaryota; Metazoa; Chordata; Mammalia; Rodentia; Chinchillidae
Exons: 2
Source: RefSeq, a predicted model, not a curated record